UACGUAGGGCGCAAGCGUUGUCCGGAAUUAUUGGGCGUAAGGAGCUCGUAGGCGGCCUGUUGCGUCCGCUGUGAAAUCCCGGGGCUUAACCCCGGGCUUGCAGUGGAUACGGGCAGGCUGGAGGCAGGCAGGGGAGAACGGAAUUCCCGGUGUAGCGGUGAAAUGCGCAGAUAUCGGGAGGAACACCGGUGGCGAAGGCGGUUCUCUGGGCCUGUACUGACGCUGAGGAGCGAAAGCGUGGGGAGCGAACAGG
Molecule: ribosomal RNA, 253 nt
Filed under: uncultured bacterium
Lineage: Bacteria
Description: partial 16S ribosomal RNA
Rfam family: Bacterial small subunit ribosomal RNA
Source: RNAcentral